This 448-nucleotide ribosomal RNA is filed under the name uncultured bacterium. Its description in RNAcentral is "bacterial SSU rRNA". It matches the Rfam family "Bacterial small subunit ribosomal RNA", at positions 29 to 507 of the family's 1533-position model. The record is from RNAcentral.
AACGAACGCUGGCGGCAUGCCUAACACAUGCAAGUCGAACGGUAACAGCGGAGCUUGCUCCGGCUGACGAGUGGCGCACGGGUGAGUAACGCGUGGGAACCUGCCCUGGAGUGGGGAACAACCGCUGGAAACGGCGGCUAAUACCGCAUACGCCCUUAGGGGGAAAGCUUUAUGCGCUCUAGGAUGGGCCCGCGUCGGAUUAGCUUGUUGGUGAGGUAACGGCUCACCAAGGCUACGAUCCGUAGCUGGUCUGAGAGGAUGAUCAGCCACACUGGGACUGAGACACGGCCCAGACUCCUACGGGAGGCAGCAGUGGGGAAUAUUGGACAAUGGGGGCAACCCUGAUCCAGCAAUGCCGCGUGUGUGAAGAAGGCCUUCGGGUUGUAAAGCACUUUCACCCGUGAAGAUGAUGACGGUAGCGGGAGAAGAAGCCCCGGCUAACUCCGUG